RNAcentral lists this ribosomal RNA (484 nucleotides) under uncultured bacterium. RNAcentral's name for it is "partial 16S ribosomal RNA". It matches the Rfam family "Bacterial small subunit ribosomal RNA", at positions 30 to 507 of the family's 1533-position model. The record is from RNAcentral.
AUUGAACGCUGGCGGCAGGCCUAACACAUGCAAGUCGAGCGGCUGAAGGGAGCUUGCUCCUGGAUUCAGCGGCGGACGGGUGAGUAAUGCCUAGGAAUCUGCCUGGUAGUGGGGGAUAACGUCCGGAAACGGGCGCUAAUACCGCAUACGUCCUACGGGGGAAAGUGGGGGAUCUUCGGACCUCACGCUAUCAGAUGAGCCUAGGUCGGAUUAGCUAGUUGGUGGGGUAAAGGCCUACCAAGGCGACGAUCCGUAACUGGUCUGAGAGGAUGAUCAGUCACACUGGAACUGAGACACGGUCCAGACUCCUACGGGAGGCAGCAGUGGGGAAUAUUGGACAAUGGGCGAAAGCCUGAUCCAGCCAUGCCGCGUGUGUGAAGAAGGUCUUCGGAUUGUAAAGCACUUUAAGUUGGGAGGAAGGGCAGUAAGUUAAUACCUCGCUGUUUUGACGUUACCAACAGAAUAAGCACCGGCUAACUUCGUG